This 89-nucleotide ribosomal RNA is filed under the name Helicobacter pylori R018c. Lineage: Bacteria; Pseudomonadati; Campylobacterota; Epsilonproteobacteria; Campylobacterales; Helicobacteraceae. The record is from RNAcentral.
UGUGCCUUUAGAGAAGAGGAACUACCCAGUUAACCAUUCCGAACCUGGAAGUCAAGCUCUUCAUCGCUGAUAAUACUGCUCUUUUCAAG